This is a long non-coding RNA of Rattus norvegicus (Norway rat), 2108 nucleotides long. RefSeq lists it as uncharacterized. Lineage: Eukaryota; Metazoa; Chordata; Mammalia; Rodentia; Muridae. The record is from RefSeq and is a predicted model, not a curated record.
GCCAUCUGCUGGUCCAGCAUGCAUGACACACGAUCCAUCUUUCCUUAGAACUGGUCUCAUUUUAGGUCACAGCUCACCUUGGGCAUUCAUGAACCUGUCAGCCCUCUCUUUGUAUUCUGAUUCAUCCUAGCUGCAGGCAUCCCACAAACUGGCAGACACGUAGGGAAGCAUUGAGAGCACAGGUGGAGGGUAGAACGGACCUAGUGCCCUACUUAAACUGUGGAUACAUUUAAAUGAUAUAUACGCGAGUUAGAGAACGAUGUAAGGCCCGUGGUAAAUUUGAGAUAAGUAUUUGAUGUUGCUACUUCGCCACUUGUCUUCUUUGCAACCUAUGUGCCCUUUGCAGUUUGACAUGAAUGUGAUUUAUUUUAGCUAAAAUCCAAGCCGGCCCUAUUCCCUCUCGCUGUGAUCAUCCUCACAUGCCACCAUGCUACUUGGCGCUGGGAGCCUUGCUGCUCUGCUUGCAAUCCCAAGGGUGCGGAAAAUAAAUUUGACACAAUGUUUCUUUUGUCUCCCCCGACCCCCACUCCUUCGCCUGGCCAAUUGAUUCGGAGCUCUGUUUCUCCCCUGCUACGGCUGCCUCCAGGUCGAACUGAGAUUUCCGUAGUGCAUUAAGCUAAUUUGGGUAGUGAAUAAGGACAAGUCCAGAAAGCAGAUUCACAAAGCAGAGACUCACAGAAGCCGGGCUGAUGUGCUAUACUGUCUAGAAGCUGGCAAACCUGUCCUGGAUCCUCCUCAAAGCAUUCGGAUGAGACAAUGCCGCUUCCGGCUCACAGCAACAUUCCUGGAGAGACCUGCAGAUCCCUGGAGGCUACGGAAGCCUGGCAAGGAGCAACCACAGGGGAGCUAUGGUUCCCAGGCCUCAGAGGUGAAAGAGACAGUGGCUUGCAAAUGCAGCUACAGCAUCCGGUGUGGCAGAGGAGUUUCUGCGCUCUGGGUGGAGCAGAACAGGAAAGUUCAUGAAUCCAGCACGUCAGAGCAGCCUUUCUCCCCUAUUUACUCCGGUGACAUCGCGAGCACUCACUACUUUACUUUGUCUUAACGCUGGCUUGUUAACCUCUGUAUGGUGACUUUCUAGCCACUAGCCUGGAAGCUGCAAGGCAGACCAGAGGAGCGGUCUAAUUUGCCUGCUGAACGAAGGUCACUGCAUGUGGAAUUCAACUGGGAGCUAUGCUGUGUUCUUGAGUUCUGAGGUGCUCAGGGCAACACCGUUCCUCCUGCAACAUCUGGCAAGCUACAUUAAAGAAGCUGCAACCUUCCUUCUCAAGAAGCACAGACACAGAUCCUCAUUCCCAGCAAUGUUUCCUCGACUUAAUAUGAACCUGUCAAGGGCCAAGCAGGGAAAGCAUUUAGGUGGAAGUCAUGUCAACUAAACCUAACUAAAAUAGCAGCGGAGAGGUAUAGGCAGAGUUCUGUGAGGCGAGCAGCCCUUAGUCAUCAACCUGGUUAUUCCUUUUGUGGGAUUUAACUCUCUGAGCAGUAGCUGACUGAAAUUACAGUGCUCGGAGCCAUGUGCACAACACAAUGUUUGGCGGUGCCUAACAGCGGCUGAUAAAUAGGUACACUCUUCCAUGAGCUUCAGUCUCUUCUGUGCUCAGUGGGUAUCAAAGAACCAGGGAGUACAGUGUAUUAUCCAAUAAAGAGUUCGAUCCAGGAAAAGAAAACCGUAAGCACUUCUGCAUGCUGGUGAUAGAAUUCUAAUUUCACUUUUUAGAAUAACAGUUUUAUUACGGUAUAAUUCACACACCAUAAAAUUUACUUAUUAAAGUAUACAGUGGGGGAGGAUGUGGCAGCUUAAUAACUCUAUUUAGAGCAUUAUUCUCUACAGUUAAGUUCUUCACCCAUUAGCAAUCUCUCGGCGAGCAGUCCUCUUCAGCACUGGCCUCUAAUCCUCAUUCUGUAUCCAGAACAUUUUUAUCCUGACCACAAUCACGGAACCUUACGAUAUUUGCUAUUUUCUGACAUAUCCCAUAUACAGAGACUUUGAGUCCUAUCCAUGUCAUAGCAUAUGCCUAUAUUUCAUUCUUAUGGCUGAGUAAUAUUCCAUUUAGGGAUUUAGCGCAUUCUGUGUAUGCCCUGCUCAGUUAAUAAAUAUCCAAGAUGGUUGU